AACGAACGCUGGCGGCAUGCCUAACACAUGCAAGUCGAACGAGAUCCUUCGGGGUCUAGUGGCGCACGGGUGCGUAACGCGUGGGAAUCUGCCCUUAGGUUCGGAAUAACAGUUAGAAAUGACUGCUAAUACCGGAUGAUGACGUUAAGUCCAAAGAUUUAUCGCCUGAGGAUGAGCCCGCGUAGGAUUAGCUAGUUGGUGUGGUAAAGGCGCACCAAGGCGACGGUCCUUAGCUGGUCUGAGAGGAUGAUCAGCCACACUGGGACUGAGACACGGCCCAGACUCCUACGGGAGGCAGCAGUGGGGAAUAUUGGACAAUGGGCGCAAGCCUGAUCCAGCAAUGCCGCGUGAGUGAUGAAGGCCUUAGGGUUGUAAAGCUCUUUUACCCGAGAUGAUAAUGACAGUAUCGGGAGAAUAAGCCCCGGCUAACUCCGUG
This 436-nucleotide ribosomal RNA is filed under the name uncultured bacterium. RNAcentral's name for it is "partial 16S ribosomal RNA". It matches the Rfam family "Bacterial small subunit ribosomal RNA", at positions 29 to 507 of the family's 1533-position model. The record is from RNAcentral.